Molecule: ribosomal RNA, 1444 nt
Filed under: Corynebacterium sp. HMSC070B05
Lineage: Bacteria; Bacillati; Actinomycetota; Actinomycetes; Mycobacteriales; Corynebacteriaceae
Description: bacterial LSU rRNA
Rfam family: Bacterial large subunit ribosomal RNA
Source: RNAcentral
UUUUUGUGGGGUGAUGGCGUGCCUUUUGAAGAAUGAGCCUGCGAGUCAGCGGCAUGUCGCGAGGUUAACCCGUUUGGUGGGGUAGUCGUAGCGAAAGCGAAUACUAACUAGUGUGUUGUCAGUGGCAUGUCCUGGACCCGAAGCGGGGUGAUCUACCCAUGGCCAGUGUGAAGCAGAGGUAAGACUCUGUGGAGGCGCGAACCCACUUAGGUUGAAAACUGAGGGGAUGAGUUGUGGGUAGGGGUGAAAGGCCAAUCAAACUCCGUGAUAGCUGGUUCUCCCCGAAAUGCAUUUAGGUGCAGCGUCGUGUGUUUCCUCCUGGAGGUAGAGCUACUGGUUGGUUUAGCGGGACUAUCAUCUUAGCGACAUCAGCCAAACUCCGAAUGCCGGUGAGGUCAGAGCACGGCAGUGAGACUGCGGGGGAUAAGCUUCGUAGUCGAGAGGGAAACAGCCCAGAUCGCCGGCUAAGGCCCCUAAGGGUGUGCUAAGUGGAAAAGGAUGUGGGAUCGCGAAGACAACCAGGAGGUUGGCUUAGAAGCAGCCAUCCUUGAAAGAGUGCGUAAUAGCUCACUGGUCGAGUGGUUCUGCGCCGACAAUGUAGUGGGGCUCAAGUACACCGCCGAAGCCGCGGCAAUCACCUUUGUGGUGGUUGGGUAGGGGAGCGUCGCGUGACUGCUGUGAAGCGCUGGGGUAACCCUAGUGUGGAGUGUGCGCGAGUGAGAAUGCAGGCAUGAGUAGCGAAUGAGGAGUGGAAAACUCCUCCGCCGAAUGACUAAGGGUUCCUGGGCCAGGUUAAUCCUCCCAGGGUGAGUCGGGACCUAAGGCGAGGCCGACAGGCGUAGUCGAUGGAUAACGGGUUGAUAUUCCCGUACCCGUGUGUCCGCGCCCAUGGUGAAUCAGGGAUACUAACCCACCUGAACACGCGCCGUUUACUAGCCUUUUAGGUUGGUUGGUGUGUGUGAUGCUGGGGACCUGAACUGGUAGUAGCCAAGUGAUGGGGUGACGCAGGAAGGUAGCCGUGCCACGUGAUGGAUAUCGUGGUGUAAGCGUGUGGCCCGUGUUCUAGGUAAAUCCGGAGCACAUAUAGGGUGAGGCGUGAUGCGUACCCGUUUUGGGGAAGUUGGUGAUCCUAUGCUGCCGAGAAAAGCCUCUAGCGAUGUGGAUAUACGGCCCGUACCCGAAACCGACACAGGUAGUCAGGUAGAGAAUACUAAGGCGAUCGGGAGAACUGUGGUUAAGGAACUCGGCAAAAUGCCCCCGUAACUUCGGGAGAAGGGGGGCCAUGACUGGUGACCGACGUGGUUGAGCUGGUUGUGGCCGCAGAGAAUAGAGGGAAGCGACUGUUUACUAAAAACACAGGUCCGUGCGAAGACGGGUAAGUCGAUGUAUACGGACUGACGCCUGCCCGGUGCUGGAAGGUUAAGAGGACCUGUUAGACCCCUUU